RNAcentral lists this ribosomal RNA (885 nucleotides) under Tegonotus sp. AH2_2. Its description in RNAcentral is "partial large subunit ribosomal RNA". It matches the Rfam family "Eukaryotic large subunit ribosomal RNA", at positions 366 to 944 of the family's 3401-position model. The record is from RNAcentral. Lineage: Eukaryota; Metazoa; Arthropoda; Arachnida; Trombidiformes; Eriophyidae.
AAAUAGAACUUUGCAGAGAGAGUUAAGAGGGCGUGAAACCGUUAAUUGGCAAACGAAUCGGAGCCACGAAGUCGUUUCGUAGUAUGAGCCUGGGCUGAGUUCAGCUUAAAUUGGAUGCGAGAGUGUCCAGUUUGGGUGUAUUCUCGUGUCUGGCCAACUUUGUAAGCGUACACUGCAACCAGUUAGACGAUUGGUGAUGGGCACAGUUGCAAGUUAGUAGUAGCGUUUUAGUUCUUUCGGGUUCUAUGGUGUUGCUGGAUUUGUGCAAGUGAACUAUGAACCAAAUACUGACUGGCAAAAUGAAAAUCGCUUCGGCGUUGUAUAAAAUGCAACUUGUUGCAUUUAGGCCUACACUUGCUGGCCAUGUAGUCUUUAAGCUUGGUAUUUUUGAAUUUAGACUUGCCAGCUACCAGUGGGGCAACUCCUGGUGCUGGUAUAGCUUCUAUCUAAUCGGAUGCCGACUUGGCUGUAUGUUGUCUGGUGGUGCUACGAUAGGGUUUAAAUGUAAGCGAGUUUGCUAGAAUUGGCAGUGAGUAGGUCGGCUUUCCGAACGACCCGUCUUGAAACACGGACCAAGGAGUCUAAUUAGGCAUCGAGUCGAUCGGUCUUGAAUAGGCCAGAUGGGGAGUUUCCUUCCGAGAAGGCGUAGAGACAUGUGAUCGUUGUGGCUGCAAAAGCUUGAACGCGCAACAUGUGCCUGUUCUCAAGGCAAUGUAAGUUUGUAUAUAAUUACUUGAGCGGAGCAAAGAGAUGCUUGAUUGGUACCCGAAAGAUGGUGAUGCCUGGGCAAAUUGAAGCCAGAGGAAACUCUGGUGGAGGAUUUAGUCUGACGUGCAAAUCGAUCGUCAGACCUGGGUAUAGGGGCGAAAGACUAAUCGAACCAUC